RNAcentral lists this ribosomal RNA (301 nucleotides) under uncultured bacterium. RNAcentral describes it as "partial 16S ribosomal RNA". It matches the Rfam family "Bacterial small subunit ribosomal RNA", at positions 509 to 807 of the family's 1533-position model. The record is from RNAcentral.
CAGUCGCCGCGGUAAUACAGAGGGUGCGAGCGUUAAUCGGAUUUACUGGGCGUAAAGCGUGCGUAGGCGGCUUCUUAAGUCGGAUGUGAAAUCCCUGAGCUUAACUUAGGAAUUGCAUUCGAUACUGGGAAGCUAGAGUAUGGGAGAGGAUGGUAGAAUUCCAGGUGUAGCGGUGAAAUGCGUAGAGAUCUGGAGGAAUACCGAUGGCGAAGGCAGCCAUCUGGCCUAAUACUGACGCUGAUGUACGAAAGCAUGGGGAGCAAACAGGAUUAGAUACCCGCGUAGUCCCUGUCUCUUAUAC